RNAcentral lists this ribosomal RNA (266 nucleotides) under uncultured Atopobium sp. Its description in RNAcentral is "partial 16S ribosomal RNA". It matches the Rfam family "Bacterial small subunit ribosomal RNA", at positions 89 to 353 of the family's 1533-position model. Lineage: Bacteria; Bacillati; Actinomycetota; Coriobacteriia; Coriobacteriales; Atopobiaceae. The record is from RNAcentral.
UAUAAAGUGGCGAACGGCUGAGUAACACGUGGGCAACCUGCCCUUUGCACUGGGAUAGCCUCGGGAAACCGAGGUUAAUACCGGAUACUCCAUAUUUGUCGCAUGGCGAAUAUGGGAAAGCUCCGGCGGCAAAGGAUGGGCCCGCGGCCUGUUAGCUAGUUGGUGGGGUAGUGGCCUACCAAGGCAAUGAUGGGUAGCCGGGUUGAGAGACCGACCGGCCAGAUUGGGACUGAGACACGGCCCAGACUCCUACGGGAGGCAGCGUG